RNAcentral lists this ribosomal RNA (275 nucleotides) under uncultured Glomus. RNAcentral describes it as "partial 18S ribosomal RNA". It matches the Rfam family "Eukaryotic small subunit ribosomal RNA", at positions 548 to 830 of the family's 1831-position model. The record is from RNAcentral. Lineage: Eukaryota; Fungi; Glomeromycota; Glomeromycetes; Glomerales; Glomeraceae.
UUGGAGGGCAAGUCUGGUGCCAGCAGCCGCGGUAAUUCCAGCUCCAAUAGCGUAUAUUAAAGUUGUUGCAGUUAAAAAGCUCGUAGUUGAAUUUCGGGGUUAGUAGGUUGGUCAUGCCUCUGGUAUGUACUGGUCUCACUGAUUCCUCCUUCCUUAUGAACCGUAAUGCCAUUAAUUUGGUGUUGCGGGAAUUUGGACUGUUACUUAGAAAAAAUUGAGUGUUUAAAGCAAGCUAACGCUUGAAUACAUUAGCAUGGAAUAAUGAAAUAGGUACG